GACGAACGCUGGCGGCGUGCUUAACACAUGCAAGUCGAACGGUGAAGCGCCUUCCUUUUUGGUGGGUGUGGAUGAGUGGCGAACGGGUGAGUAACACGUGAGUAACCUGCCCCCUUCUUCUGGAUAACCACAUGAAAGUGUGGCUAAUACGGGAUAUUCUGGGUCUGUCGCAUGAUGGGUCUGGGAAAGAUAUUGUUUCGGUGGGGGAUGGGCUCGCGGCCUAUCAGCUUGUUGGUGGGGUGAUGGCCUACCAAGGCGGUGACGGGUAGCCGGCCUGAGAGGGUGGACGGUCACACUGGGACUGAGACACGGCCCAGACUCCUACGGGAGGCAGCAGUGGGGAAUAUUGCACAAUGGGCGCAAGCCUGAUGCAGCGACGCCGCGUGAGGGAUGGAGGCCUUCGGGUUGUGAACCUCUUUCGCCAGUGAAGCAGGCCUGCCUCGUUUGUGGGUGGGUUGACGGUAGCUGGAUAAGAAGCGCCGGCUAACUACGUG
RNAcentral lists this ribosomal RNA (494 nucleotides) under uncultured bacterium. RNAcentral describes it as "partial 16S ribosomal RNA". It matches the Rfam family "Bacterial small subunit ribosomal RNA", at positions 28 to 507 of the family's 1533-position model. The record is from RNAcentral.